RNAcentral lists this ribosomal RNA (447 nucleotides) under uncultured bacterium. RNAcentral describes it as "partial 16S ribosomal RNA". It matches the Rfam family "Bacterial small subunit ribosomal RNA", at positions 330 to 793 of the family's 1533-position model. The record is from RNAcentral.
UCCAGACUCCUACGGGAGGCAGCAGUGGGGGAUAUUGCACAAUGGGGGGAACCCUGAUGCAGCGACGCCGCGUGGGUGAAGGAGCGUUUCGGCGCGUAAAGCCCUAUCGGCAGGGAAGAAGGAGGACGGUACCUGACUAAGAAGCCCCGGCUAACUACGUGCCAGCAGCCGCGGUAAUACGUAGGGGGCAAGCGUUAUCCGGAUUUACUGGGUGUAAAGGGGGCGCAGACGGCAGCGCAAGCCAGGAGUGAAAGCCCGGGGCCCAACCCCGGGACUGCUCUUGGAACUGCGCGGCUGGAGUGCAGGAGGGGCAGGCGGAAUUCCUGGUGUAGCGGUGAAAUGCGUAGAUAUCAGGAGGAACACCGGUGGCGAAGGCGGCCUGCUGGACUGCGACUGACGUUGAGGCGCGAAAGCGUGGGGAGCAAACAGGAUUAGAUACCCCCGUAG